AGCCAGACAGUAUCUCCUGAAAGCCUGACAGUUAAGCUGCCAGAUUUCUCAAGAGACUUAUCCGGCCGGCUACAGACCCUUUAGACCCAAUAAUAACGGUACCACUCGAGCCGCCGCGGUAAUACCGGCUGCUCGAGUGAUGGCCACUAUUACUGGGUUUAAAGCGUCCGUAGCUUGACUGUUAGGUCUCUUGGGAAAUCUUCGCGCUCAACGUGAAGGCGUCUAAGAGAUACCGGCAGUCUUGGAACUGGGAGAGGUAAACCGUACUUCGGGGGUAGGAGUGAAAUCUUGUAAUCCUCGAGGGACGACCUAUGGCGAAGGCAGUUUACCAGAACAGCUUCGACAGUGAGGGACGAAAGCUGGGGGAGCAAACGGGAUUAGAUACCCCGGUAGUCCCAGCCGUAAACAAUGUGCGUUAGGUGUGUCGGUAACCACGUGUUACUGAUGCGCCGAAGAGAAAUCGUGAAACGCACCACCUGGGAAGUACGGUCGCAAGGCUGAAACUUAAAGGAAUUGGCGGGGGAGCACCACAACAGGUGGAGCCUGCGGUUUAAUUGGAUUCAACGCCGGAAAGGGC
Molecule: ribosomal RNA, 577 nt
Filed under: uncultured archaeon
Lineage: Archaea
Description: bacterial SSU rRNA
Rfam family: Archaeal small subunit ribosomal RNA
Source: RNAcentral